UACGUAGGUGGCAAGCGUUGUCGGGACUUAUUGUGCGUAACGGGAGCGCAGGCGGCCUCUUAAGUCUGAUGUGAAAGCCCCCGGCUCAACCGGGGAGGGCCAUUGGAAACUCGGAGGCUUGAAUAUAGGAGAGAAGAGUGGAAUUCCACGUGUAGCGGUGAAAUGCGUAGAGAUGUGGAGGAACACCAGUGGCGAAGGCGACUCUUUGGUCUAUAACUGACGCUGAGGCGCGAAAGCGUGGGGAGCAAACAGG
Molecule: unclassified non-coding RNA, 253 nt
Filed under: uncultured Caryophanales bacterium
Lineage: Bacteria; Bacillati; Bacillota; Bacilli; Caryophanales
Description: uncultured Bacillales bacterium contains 16S-23S intergenic spacer region
Rfam family: Bacterial small subunit ribosomal RNA
Source: RNAcentral